This 1459-nucleotide ribosomal RNA is filed under the name uncultured bacterium. RNAcentral's name for it is "bacterial SSU rRNA". It matches the Rfam family "Bacterial small subunit ribosomal RNA". The record is from RNAcentral.
AUUGAACGCUGGCGGAAUGCUUUACACAUGCAAGUCGAGCGGCAGCGCGGGGCAACCUGGCGGCGAGCGGCGAACGGGUGAGUAAUGCAUCGGAACGUACCCCGUCGUGGGGGAUAACUCAUCGAAAGGUGGGCUAAUACCGCAUACGACCUGAGGGUGAAAGCGGGGGAUCGCAAGACCUCGCGCGAUGGGAGCGGCCGAUGUCGGAUUAGCUAGUUGGUGGGGUAAAGGCCUACCAAGGCGACGAUCCGUAGCGGGUCUGAGAGGACGGCCCGCCACACUGGAACUGAGACACGGUCCAGACUCCUACGGGAGGCAGCAGUGGGGAAUUUUGGACAAUGGGGGCAACCCUGAUCCAGCCAUUCCGCGUGAGUGAAGAAGGCCUUCGGGUUGUAAAGCUCUUUCGGCAGGAACGAAACGGUGAGGGUUAAUACCCCUUGCUACUGACGGUACCUGAAGAAGAAGCACCGGCUAACUACGUGCCAGCAGCCGCGGUAAUACGUAGGGUGCGAGCGUUAAUCGGAAUUACUGGGCGUAAAGCGUGCGCAGGUGGUUUUGUAAGACAGAUGUGAAAUCCCCGGGCUUAACCUGGGAACUGCGUUUGUGACUGCAAGACUUGAGUGCGGCAGAGGGGGGUGGAAUUCCACGUGUAGCAGUGAAAUGCGUAGAGAUGUGGAGGAACACCGAUGGCGAAGGCAGCCCCCUGGGUCGACACUGACACUCAUGCACGAAAGCGUGGGGAGCAAACAGGAUUAGAUACCCUGGUAGUCCACGCCCUAAACGAUGCGAACUAGGUGUUGGGGAAGGAGACUUUCUUAGUACCGCAGCUAACGCGUGAAGUUCGCCGCCUGGGGAGUACGGUCGCAAGAUUAAAACUCAAAGGAAUUGACGGGGACCCGCACAAGCGGUGGAUGAUGUGGAUUAAUUCGAUGCAACGCGAAAAACCUUACCUACCCUUGACAUGCCUGGAACCCUGGUGAGAGCUGGGGGUGCCCGAAAGGGAGCCGGGACACAGGUGCUGCAUGGCUGUCGUCAGCUCGUGUCGUGAGAUGUUGGGUUAAGUCCCGCAACGAGCGCAACCCUUGUCAUUAGUUGCCAGCAUUGAGUUGGGCACUCUAAUGAGACUGCCGGUGACAAACCGGAGGAAGGUGGGGAUGACGUCAAGUCCUCAUGGCCCUUAUGGGUAGGGCUUCACACGUCAUACAAUGGUCGGUACAGAGGGUUGCCAAGCCGCGAGGUGGAGCCAAUCCCACAAAGCCGAUCGUAGUCCGGAUCGCAGUCUGCAACUCGACUGCGUGAAGUCGGAAUCGCUAGUAAUCGUGGAUCUUUUAUGCCACGGUGAAUACGUUCCCGGGUCUUGUACACACCGCCCGUCACACCAUGGGAGUGGGUUCCACCAGAAGUAGGUAGUCUAACCGCAAGGGGGGCGCUUACCACGGUGGGAUUCAUGACUGGGGUG